CCUACGUGAGGCAGCAGUAGGGAAUAUUGCUCAAUGGGGGAAACCCUGAAGCAGCAACGCCGCGUGGAGGAUGAAGGUUUUCGGAUUGUAAACUCCUUUUGUUAGAGAAGAUCAUGACGGUAUCUAACGAAUAAGCACCUGCUAACUCCCUUCCAUCACGCGCGGUAAUACGGAGGGUGCAAGCGUUACUCGGAAUCACUGGGCGUAAGGAGCGCGUAGGCGGGAUAGCAAGUCAGAUGUGAAAUCCUAUGGCUUAACCAUAGAACUUAAUUUGAAACUGUUAUUAUAGAGUAUGGGAGAGGUAGGUGGAAGUAUGGGUGUAGGGGUAAAAUACGUAGAGAACAAGAGGAGUACUCAUGGCGAAGGCGACCGGCUAGAACAUAACUGACGCUGAUGCGCGAAAGCGUGGGGAGCAAACAGGAUUAGAUACCCGAGUAGUC
Molecule: ribosomal RNA, 440 nt
Filed under: uncultured bacterium
Lineage: Bacteria
Description: partial 16S ribosomal RNA
Rfam family: Bacterial small subunit ribosomal RNA
Source: RNAcentral